This 223-nucleotide ribosomal RNA is filed under the name uncultured bacterium. RNAcentral's name for it is "partial 16S ribosomal RNA". It matches the Rfam family "Bacterial small subunit ribosomal RNA", at positions 328 to 539 of the family's 1533-position model. The record is from RNAcentral.
ACGCUCGACACCUACGGGAGACAGCAGUAGGGAAUCUUCCACAAUGGGCGCAAGCCUGAUGGAGCAACACCGCGUGAGUGAAGAAGGGUUUCGGCUCGUAAAGCUCUGUUGUUGGAGAAGAACGUGCGUGAGAGUAACUGUUCACGCAGUGACGGUAUCCAACCAGAAAGUCACGGCUAACUACGUGCCAUCAGCCGCGGUAAUCUGAGCGGGCUGGCAAGGC